This 301-nucleotide ribosomal RNA is filed under the name uncultured bacterium. Its description in RNAcentral is "partial 16S ribosomal RNA". It matches the Rfam family "Bacterial small subunit ribosomal RNA", at positions 509 to 809 of the family's 1533-position model. The record is from RNAcentral.
CAGUCGCCGCGGGAAUACAGAGGAUGCAAGCGUUAUCCGGAAUGAUUGGGCGUAAAGCGUGCGCAGGCGGUUAUAUAAGUCAGAUGUGAAAUCCCCGGGCUCAACCUGGGAACUGCAUUUGAGACUGUAUGGCUAGAGUGUGUCAGAGGGGGGUGGAAUUCCACGUGUAGCAGUGAAAUGCGUAGAGAUGUGGAGGAACACCGAUGGCGAAGGCAGCCCCCUGGGCCAAUACUGACGCUCAUGCACGAAAGCGUGGGGAGCAAACAGGAUUAGAUACCCCCGUAGUCCCUGUCUCUUAUAU